RNAcentral lists this long non-coding RNA (5257 nucleotides) under Homo sapiens (human). RNAcentral describes it as "HSALNT0110564". The record is from RNAcentral. Lineage: Eukaryota; Metazoa; Chordata; Mammalia; Primates; Hominidae.
GUAGAAGUCAACAGGUGGUUGUCCAAAUAUAAAUGAAAAGGCUUAACUCUAAAACAUCGCUGUCUGAGGGGAUUUUUAGAAGACUUUACUCUGUGGUUUUGGCAGUGACCGUGUGUUUCUUUGCCAGCACAAAGAGAAAUUUGACCUGUGUCUCUCAGGAGUUAGAGAUUUUCAUCACUGCUGUCCCCACACUAGACCUAUCAACCCCUUCUCCACCCCAACAAAUCAGGAGACUCAAAGAAGAAUAGUGAGGAGAGAGAGAAAGAGAGAAAGGCUGAAGAAACAAGGGAUGGAAACGGUACAGGAAUGCUUAGUACUGUGUGUACAGCAAUGACGUUCACUGCCCUUCUUAUCAUGACGGAGCCAAUGACUCUGAGAGAAGCCUGGGCAGGUGUUACCUCUGUUUUUGGAGGAUCUCCAUUCAUCCCUCAAAGGAAUAACAUUUGGCAUCUUCUAGGCCUUUUGGAAAAAUGAAUUAUCAGCUGCAGGUAGUUCCAAAACUAGCUAGAACAAUCCUCUACAUCCUGGAAAGUACAGUUCUCUGAGGCCAAGAGCCAGCCACACUUGGGAUGGAAGCUCACACAUGAAAUUCAUCUCAGAUCAGCUCUGCAAUCCUCAAAUCAUUACAAACUCCUUCCAAUAUAACUUGGAGCCAAAAAGUAUGAUCAUUCAAAGUGACUGUACUUGUUUUCAAUGGUCAGGAGUGGCACCUACAUGGCUUAGCAAGUUCCAGUAACAUCAAGGACACCCAAGUAAUAAAAGUAACAAGUAAAGAAAUGUGGAUUUGGGGGAUUCAAAGAACUUUUAAUUAGAAGUUGUGAUUCUGCUCAACCAACAUGGUUUGAUCUAUAGUCCAUCAUGUUCUUCAGGAAGUCUCUAUGGAAUGGUUAACAACUUACAGCCACAGUAUUAGGAAACUUUAAUCAGGUGCAUUUUAAACAAAUUCUCCAAAUCACAGGGCAAUCGAAGAAUAACGAUACAAAUUUAAGUAUCCAUUCAAAUAUGUCUGUCUUUUUAGCCAAAAGCUUGACCUUGGGUCAGCCUGUAUCUAAUAUCUGAACAGCACCCCUGCAAGAUCUUUCUCAAAUUGGAAUGCAAAGUCUUGGGAAGAAUAUUCAAGCAAAAUAGAAUCCCUGAAACUUCAUUUAAAGGCCUCAAAUUUGAACAACUCUAUUUUUCAGAGAUAGUACUGAAUGCUCCAUGAUGAAGAGUGGAAGGACUGAAGCUGAAAUUGUGGGACUAAAUCUUUCCAGAACUCAUGAUAGCUGUUCCUCCACUGCUUAAAAAACAGGCUUCCAGGGCAACAUGGAAUCAGCAUUCAUUCUUGGCAUUUUUGAGUACCUGAAAAUAAUAUAACUAAAACUUAUGAAACUCAAAAUGUUUUUAUCUCCUGUGUUGCUUAGACUUAGAAUUUCUAUUUCUGAAGCCAGAAAAAGAAAGCUAAUCCAAGGGCUUAAUCCACAUCUCUGAAGCCAAGUUCUAUAUUCAGUAAUACUUAAUUGAAAGAUGUGCAACUUAAUUUAGGUUUUUCUUUUAAGAAGCUAGCUCAUGAAAUAAUUUCUGCCUACUCAUUUUGGAUUAUUUCUAAAAACAGAAGGCCCAAAAUUAUUAUCAAUCUAUAUUCUUAACUAUAUGGAGAUCCUAUUUGGGGGUCUUUUCACUGUAAAUAGCAGCAGUGAUGGAGGGAAGGAAAGGGUCUGGUGAGAGAAGACAGAGAGCUAAAACUUCAGGUGAGAAAGAUUCUACAAUCAUUGGAAGUUUUAAAAUAUCUGUAAUGCCUAAGAUCCAUUACUACACAAAAACUCAUUCUCCUUUUCCAUAACAAUCAUCAUCAUAAAACUACCAAUUAAGUAUACCUUUCCUCUGUUGACAAAAGAUACAAGAUGGUCAGUUAGUACCUUGCUUUUGGUGAGUGUGAGAGUACUUGUAAUCCCUAGAAGAAAAAGUGGUUAACUGUGUGUGUGGAGGCAGUGGUGGUGGUGGGGGCGGAGGUAGUUUAGAAUUCCCGUAUGCCUCUGUGUUCACUUAGUCAUUCAGAAAGUAUUUAUCGAGUGACCGUAUGCCAGGAAAUGUAAGUCCUUCUUUGUAGCAGUGAACAAAAGUGACAAAAAUCCCUGCUUUCCUGAAGCAUAGUCAGAAGAGACUAAUAAUAAAUCAACACAUAUUUUAAUAGUGUUGAUAAAACAAUGGAAAAAAAACAAACAAGAGAGGGGGAUAGGGAGAUUUGGUGGGUUUGCCAUUUAAAAUAAGAUGAUGAGACAUAUGGAGAUUAGGGGCAACAGUCAUCCAAAUGAGGGAGUAGAAAUGGCGAGUUCAACAAGCAGGGAGGUGACUCCUGUGGUUGGUGUGUAGCGAGUAGGAGGGUCAGAGGGUAGUGAGGGGAGAAGGCAACACUGUGCAGGACUUUUGGUACUGUAAGGAUUUUGGCUUUUAUUCUGAGAUGGAAAGGCACUGGAAGCUUUUGAGCAGAGUGAACUCAUGAUCAGACCUAUGUUUCAAAAAACAAAUUGUUGAGUAAAGACUGAAAAGGGGAAAGAGUAGCAGCAGAGAGGCCAGCCAGUAGGUGGAGUGGAUAGGGUGGCAGUGGGGAAGGUGGCUGGAUUUCAGAUAGGUUUCAAAGGUAGAGUUGAAAAGGUCUGCUGACAGGUUAGAUGUAGGUUGAGGUUUUCUAAUUACAUUUCUAUUAGAUUAGGAAAGCAGAGUCAGUAAUGACUGCAAAGUUUUGGUCCUGAGCAACUGGAGGUAUGUGUGGAGCAUAUGCUUGGGAAGUGACGUGUAAUUUUCUAAGGCUAUUGGAUUAAAUGGCGAGAAGGGGCAGUCAAAAUUAGGGGGAGGGGGUCAAUCUUGUAUAUUUGGACUUUGUUGUGUUGUUUGUAUGUGUAAAGGGAAGAGAAGACAGAUGAUUUUUGGUGACUGAAUAUCCCACCACCGUAUCCUCUUCCCAUCAAAGCUAGCAGUGGAAUUUUUAAGUAUGAGAAGGGCUUCUAAUUCACGUCAAGGAAAUAGGUAGACUCCCUCUUUAAAUUUUCUUAUCAUUGGGGCUGAAGGAUCCCCACACUUAAAAGUCUCCUGUGUUUUGGUGUCAGGGGUUGUGGGGAUGUGACGGUUGUUUAUGAAAGUUGAAUUCCAGUUGUUUCUAAAUGUAACAAGAAAGAGGAAGGCCUGUCAGCAAGGGAAUCGGAAUCCGCCUUGACUUGAAUAAGAUUAAGGACAACCCAAGUAUUUUGGGAAAUGUGUGAGGAGUUUUAGUUUUCAGCUUGAUAGUGGUAAUGGUGGGGAUGAGGGCCAAUACAUAUAUUUGUAUGUGUUCAGGAAUGGUGGUUGCAGGGGAGAACGUUGAAAGGAAACAAGCUGAUUCUUACCAAUUCCUGUCUGCUCUAUCAUCACUCUUCUUCAAUGCAGGUGGUAACACUGGAUCUUUGCUGAACGAAGCCUGUAGAAUUACUUUCUUCAUUCACUGCCUCUCCUUUCUUACUGCCCACUCUGGUCCUUACCUCCUGAAAUCUCAGCUUUCUCUCUUCCUAUUUAGCUAAACUUACUCUCUUAACAAUCAUUCAUGAUCCACCGCUCCCAAAGUCAGGACCCUUGACUUGGUUCUCACUUCCCUGACCUCUUGUCAGUAUUUAGUACCCAUCACCUACCACAGGCAUGGACGCAUGUCCUGCCAGGCUCCUGGCUGUCUCCUCUCUGCACUGGCUGUCUGUUCCACUCUCAGAAUGUUCUUCGUCAUAACCUUCUCUGGUCCUUCCUGAUUCCUUACUGCAGUUAGGUUUUGAAUGUUGCUUCUUUGGCUUUUCUUGCUACACUUCCUUGCUUGGUCAUAUCAUCUCUACAUCUAGGCCAGAUUUUCAUAAAGAAAACUCCCACAUAGCCAAACCCUAACCUUUGGUGACUUGCCAAGAAAUUCCAUUGUAUUCACAUAAGAGUUAUGGUCUUUACUCUCUAAUUCACAGUCACUUCACAGACUUUCCCCUUCUUCUUGCCUAUUGAUCCCUUUCAUGUCUCUGAGAAUGCAUACGUAGCCACUCCAGGCUGGGUAGCUCCAAACUUUGCUAAUGCCAUUCUACCUGGAAUGUCCUCUUUCGUCUGUGCCUUCCCGAUACUAAGCAUCUUAAAAACAGCCUAAAUGUCGCUUCAUGAUUUUUCUAAGUAAUAUUUUACCUCUGAACUCCCAUAGCAUUUCCCCCCAUCACUAGUAUUAGUGCAAUUUUUUUAUUAUAAUUAUGACAUCUUGUCAACCCCAGGCUACCCUUUGUGAAGGCAGGAUAUGUUUCUGAUUCAUGUGGGUAUCAGAAUACUCAACACAGUGCCUACAACAAAUCCUUGACUGGAACUUCAAUUAUUUUGAGUUGAUAAACUCCAGAGAAAUAUGAAAUGACCUGCCAUGAAAACAGAGUUGUAUAGUGUGAUAGCCAGCCCAGAGGUGCAUGUUCUGAGAUAAGUGGGCUGUGGUGUGGGUACAUCAGUUAAGAAAGCACUUUAUAAUACAGCCCUGAAACCUUUUUAUCACAAUAUUUCUCUUCACGAAAACAAAACCAUCCAAGACACUUUAGAACAAAUGCAUUCUCUCAAUAAUCAGCAUUUGGAAUUAUUUUAAACACUGGGAAAAUUCUUGGCCACUAAAAAAGUUAUAAGAAGUGAAUGACUUGCAGAUAUGUAAAUAGUAGUACUAAUCUGAAUAUGUUGGCAUAUAUUCUAAGACACAUUUAACACUACAAUUUUUGUUGAGUAAUGAGUGUGGAUAAAGUUGUAGAUAGUGUCGGUCACUCAUUGGAAUAAGAUUAACUUAAAUUUGUCACAUUAUUUCUCUUCUCUCUAAAGGGGACAACAGAAAUACUUUCUUAUUGUUCCUAUGUCCUGUGUCGUAUGUCCAGUGAAGGAGACUCCCCAAGUUGGCUUGCUCGCUAACAAAAAGGAAUGAUGUUGGUAAACAUGGAAUCAGUGAGAUUGUUACUCCUCAGGUUCCUGUAUGGACUGGUGAUUGUUAUCUAUAUAUAAUCUCCAUUUUCUUUUAAUUCUACUAAAACAGUGGUUAAGAUAUAAAUUCCAAUUAGGUAAUAAACUUUGCCAAAGAAAAAACAGAGAGAACUCUUUAUAUGAAGUAAAUUUCUCAGACUAGAGUAAUUGGGACACCUCAUUCUCACUAUACUUGGUUUGCUCACAAUAGUUAUUUCGAUUUAAUUUUUGGGAAGUGAAUAACUGGUUCCCCUGCAACCUACAUUUAUUUCUUCUUCUUUUUUAUUUAAGCAUGGAAAAG